This 453-nucleotide ribosomal RNA is filed under the name Bacillus altitudinis. RNAcentral describes it as "bacterial SSU rRNA". It matches the Rfam family "Bacterial small subunit ribosomal RNA", at positions 92 to 531 of the family's 1533-position model. Lineage: Bacteria; Bacillati; Bacillota; Bacilli; Caryophanales; Bacillaceae. The record is from RNAcentral.
UUAGCGGCGGACGGGUGAGUAACACGUGGGUAACCUGCCUGUAAGACUGGGAUAACUCCGGGAAACCGGAGCUAAUACCGGAUAGUUCCUUGAACCGCAUGGUUCAAGGAUGAAAGACGGUUUCGGCUGUCACUUACAGAUGGACCCGCGGCGCAUUAGCUAGUUGGUGAGGUAACGGCUCACCAAGGCGACGAUGCGUAGCCGACCUGAGAGGGUGAUCGGCCACACUGGGACUGAGACACGGCCCAGACUCCUACGGGAGGCAGCAGUAGGGAAUCUUCCGCAAUGGACGAAAGUCUGACGGAGCAACGCCGCGUGAGUGAUGAAGGUUUUCGGAUCGUAAAGCUCUGUUGUUAGGGAAGAACAAGUGCAAGAGUAACUGCUUGCACCUUGACGGUACCUAACCAGAAAGCCACGGCUAACUACGUGCCAGCAGCCGCGGUAAUACGUAGG